RNAcentral lists this ribosomal RNA (453 nucleotides) under uncultured bacterium. Its description in RNAcentral is "bacterial SSU rRNA". It matches the Rfam family "Bacterial small subunit ribosomal RNA", at positions 10 to 507 of the family's 1533-position model. The record is from RNAcentral.
AGUUUGAUCCUGGCUCAGAACGAACGCUGGCGGCAGGCUUAACACAUGCAAGUCGAACGGGCGUAGCAAUACGUCAGUGGCAGACGGGUGAGUAACACGUGGGAACCUUCCUAGGGGUACGGAACAACUCAGGGAAACUUGAGCUAAUACCGUAUACGUCCGUGAGGAGAAAGAUUUAUCGCCCUUAGACGGGCCCGCGUCGGAUUAGCUAGUUGGUGGGGUAACGGCCUACCAAGGCGACGAUCCGUAGCUGAUCUGAGAGGAUGAUCAGCCACACUGGGACUGAGACACGGCCCAGACUCCUACGGGAGGCAGCAGUGGGGAAUCUUGGACAAUGGGCGCAAGCCUGAUCCAGCCAUGCCGCGUGAGUGAAGAAGGCCUUCGGGUUGUAAAGCUCUUUUGUCAGGGACGAUAAUGACGGUACCUGAAGAAUAAGCCCCGGCAAACUUCGUG